This 253-nucleotide ribosomal RNA is filed under the name uncultured bacterium. Its description in RNAcentral is "partial 16S ribosomal RNA". It matches the Rfam family "Bacterial small subunit ribosomal RNA", at positions 524 to 776 of the family's 1533-position model. The record is from RNAcentral.
UACGUAGGGUGCAAGCGUUAAUCGGAAUUACUGGGCGUAAAGCGUGCGUAGGCGGACCAGCAAGUCAGGGGUGAAAGCCCGGGGCUCAACCCCGGAACUGCCUUUGAUACUGUUGGUCUGGAGUUCGAGAGAGGUGGGUGGAAUUCCGAGUGUAGAGGUGAAAUUCGUAGAUAUUCGGAGGAACACCAGUGGCGAAGGCGGCCCACUGGCUCGACACUGACGCUGAGGCGCGAAAGCGCGGGGAGCAAACAGG